Molecule: ribosomal RNA, 433 nt
Filed under: uncultured bacterium
Lineage: Bacteria
Description: partial 16S ribosomal RNA
Rfam family: Bacterial small subunit ribosomal RNA
Source: RNAcentral
AACGAACGCUGGCGGCAUGCCUAACACAUGCAAGUCGAACGAGACCUUCGGGUCUAGUGGCGCACGGGUGCGUAACGCGUGGGAACCUGCCCUUAGGUUCGGAAUAACUCCCCGAAAGGGGUGCUAAUACCGGAUAAUGUCUUCGGACCAAAGAUUUAUCGCCUUUGGAUGGGCCCGCGUUGGAUUAGCUAGUUGGUAGGGUAAAAGCCUACCAAGGCGACGAUCCAUAGCUGGUCUGAGAGGAUGAUCAGCCACACUGGGACUGAGACACGGCCCAGACUCCUACGGGAGGCAGCAGUGGGGAAUAGUGGACAAUGGGCGAAAGCCUGAUCCAGCAAUGCCGCGUGAGUGAUGAAGGCCUUAGGGUUGUAAAGCUCUUUUACCCGGGAUGAUAAUGACAGUACCGGGAGAAUAAGCUCCGGCUAACUACGUG